Long non-coding RNA from Meriones unguiculatus (Mongolian gerbil), 401 nucleotides. RefSeq lists it as uncharacterized. The transcript has 3 exons. Lineage: Eukaryota; Metazoa; Chordata; Mammalia; Rodentia; Muridae. The record is from RefSeq and is a predicted model, not a curated record.
GCGGAGCAAAGCAGAAAUCAGAUCGGCUCACCCACUGCACCACAGACUUGAGAAAAUACAGGAAUACAGACCUAGACUCGAGGACAUGCUACAUGUGUGAUAGUCCAGAGUAGCGACCUCUAAUACCAUAUUCCCUUAUGACAUUUUAGAGAUGGUCUCUAACCCCCACGUGCUUGACUGAAAGAGAUGGCAUUUCACACUUGCUUGGGCCCCAAAGUUGGCAGAGAUGCAAUGAAUCCAGAGACCAUGUGAAGCACACAGCUGUCUCACCUAUGAUUACCAUCUUCUGAUUGUAAAUAAACUAGCCCCAGCACCAGCUUCAGAAGCAGAACCUGAUGUACCUAGCCUGUCACAGUAGCUCUGUUCUCCUUUGAGAGUAUGGCGCCGCGUGUCAUGUGAUU